GUGGGGAAUUUUGGACAAUGGGCGCAAGCCUGAUCCAGCAAUGCCGCGUGCAGGAAGAAGGCCUUCGGGUUGUAAACUGCUUUUGUACGGAACGAAAAGGCUCUGGUUAAUACCUGGGGCUCAUGACGGUACCGUAAGAAUAAGCACCGGCUAACUACGUGCCAGCAGCCGCGGUAAUACGUAGGGUGCAAGCGUUAAUCGGAAUUACUGGGCGUAAAGCGUGCGCAGGCGGUUUUGUAAGACAGACGUGAAAUCCCCGGGCUCAACCUGGGAAUUGAGUUUGUGACUGCAAAGCUGGAGUGCGGCAGAGGGGGAUGGAAUUCCGCGUGUAGCAGUGAAAUGCGUAGAUAUGCGGAGGAACACCGAUGGCGAAGGCAAUCCCCUGGGCCUGCACUGACGCUCAUGCACGAAAGCGUGGGGAUCAAACAGGAUUAGAUACCCGGGUAGUCC
This 450-nucleotide ribosomal RNA is filed under the name uncultured bacterium. Its description in RNAcentral is "partial 16S ribosomal RNA". It matches the Rfam family "Bacterial small subunit ribosomal RNA", at positions 354 to 796 of the family's 1533-position model. The record is from RNAcentral.